CGAGCAGUAGCUCAGUGGCAGAGUCCCGCUUCGUACGUGGGAAGACCUGGGUUCGAUUCCCGGCUGCUUAC
Molecule: transfer RNA, 71 nt
Filed under: Toxocara canis (dog roundworm)
Lineage: Eukaryota; Metazoa; Nematoda; Chromadorea; Rhabditida; Toxocaridae
Rfam family: tRNA
About the family: Transfer RNA (tRNA) molecules are approximately 80 nucleotides in length. Their secondary structure includes four short double-helical elements and three loops (D, anti-codon, and T loops).
Source: Rfam by way of RNAcentral